GACGAACGCUGGCGGCGUGCUUAACACAUGCAAGUCGAACGAAGUGGCGAACGGGUGAGUAAUGUGUAAUCAACCUGCCCUUCAGAGGGGGACAACAGUUGGAAACGACUGCUAAUACCGCAUACUGAAUGAGGGGUUUGCGUCUGAUUAGCUAGUUGGAGGGGUAACGGCCCACCAAGGCGAUGAUCAGUAGCCGGGCUGGGAGGAUGUACGGCCACAUUGGGGCUGGGACAAGGCCCCAACUCCUACGGGAGGCAGCAGUGGGGGAACUUCCGCAAUGGACGAAAGUCUGACGGAGCAACGCCGCGUGAGUGAUGACGGCCUUCGGGUUGUAAAACUCUGUUAAUCGGGACGCGGUACCUGAAUAGAAAGCCACGGCUAACUACGUGCCAGCAGCCGCGGUAAUAC
Molecule: ribosomal RNA, 408 nt
Filed under: uncultured bacterium
Lineage: Bacteria
Description: partial 16S ribosomal RNA
Rfam family: Bacterial small subunit ribosomal RNA
Source: RNAcentral